UGGGGAAUAUUGCACAAUGGGCGCAAGCCUGAUGCAGCCAUGCCGCGUGUAUGAAGAAGGCCAUCGGGUUGUAAAGUACUUUCAGCGGGGAGGAAGGGAGUAAAGUUAAUACCUUUACUCAUUGACGUUACCCGCAGAAGAAGCACCGGCUAACUCCGUGCCAGCAGCCGCGGUAAUACGGAGGGUGCAAGCAUUAAUCGGAAUUACUGGGCGUAAAGCGCACGCAGGCGGUUUGUUAAGUCAGAUGUGAAAUCCCCGGGCUCAACCUGGGAACUGCAUCUGAUACUGGCAAGCUUGAGUCUCGUAGAGGGGGGUAGAAUUCCAGGUGUAGCGGUGAAAUGCGUAGAGAUCUGGAGGAAUACCGGUGGCGAAGGCGGCCCCCUGGACGAAGACUGACGCUCAGGUGCGAAAGCGUGGGGAGCAAACAGG
This 429-nucleotide ribosomal RNA is filed under the name Chloroflexota bacterium. RNAcentral describes it as "Chloroflexi bacterium partial 16S ribosomal RNA". It matches the Rfam family "Bacterial small subunit ribosomal RNA", at positions 355 to 776 of the family's 1533-position model. Lineage: Bacteria; Bacillati; Chloroflexota. The record is from RNAcentral.